GACGAACGCUGGCGGCGCGCUUAACACAUGCAAGUCGAACGGAAAGGCCUGCUUUCCCUUGUGGAUUGCGGGUACUCGAGUGGCGAACGGGUGAGUAACACGUGAGUGAUCUGCCCCCAACUUGGGUAUAAGCCUGGGAAACUGGGUCUAAUUCCCGAUAGGACUGCAGGGUGGUGCCUGUGGUGGAAAACGAUUUUCUAGUGGUUGGGGAUGAGCUCGCGGCCUAUCAGCUUGUUGGUGGGGUAAUGGCCUACCAAGGCGGCGACGGGUAGCCGGCCUGGGAGGGUGGACGGCCACAUUGGGACUGAGAUACGGCCCAGACUCAUACGGGAGGCAGCAGUGGGGAAUAUUGCACAAUGGGCGGAAGCCUGAUGCAGCGACGCCGCGUGGGGGAUGACGGCCUUCGGGUUGUAAACUCCUUUCGACCGCGAGGAAGCCACCUGGUUGGAAGGGUGGUGACGGUAGUGGUAGAAGAAGCACCGGCUAACUACGUG
Molecule: ribosomal RNA, 494 nt
Filed under: uncultured bacterium
Lineage: Bacteria
Description: partial 16S ribosomal RNA
Rfam family: Bacterial small subunit ribosomal RNA
Source: RNAcentral